Molecule: ribosomal RNA, 168 nt
Filed under: Triticum aestivum (bread wheat)
Lineage: Eukaryota; Viridiplantae; Streptophyta; Magnoliopsida; Poales; Poaceae
Description: partial small subunit ribosomal RNA
Source: RNAcentral
AUGGAGCUAAUGAGAGGGCUCAUAAAUCAGCUUAGUGAGCUUAUAUCUUGGUUGGGCACACAGGACCUUGGUCCGAGGAGCUUGGGACUUUCCCACAACUUGUCUAGAUACAAGCUGAAAUUCAGUCCUAAAAAGUAUUUGACUACUUGUGCGAGGGUGCACAUGUGA